GAUCAUGGCUCAGGAUGAACGCUAGCGGCAGGCCUAACACAUGCAAGUCGAGGGGCAGCAUAAACAAGCUUGCUUGUUUGGUGGCGACCGGCGCACGGGUGCGUAACGCGUAUGCAACCUACCCUGUACUGGGGGAUAGCCCGGAGAAAUUCGGAUUAAGACCCCAUAGCACUUAAGAAUGGCAUCAUUCAUAAGUUAAAGGUUACGGUACAGGAUGGGCAUGCGUCCCAUUAGCUAGAUGGUAAGGUAACGGCUUACCAUGGCAACGAUGGGUAGGGGGCCUGAGAGGGUGGUCCCCCACACUGGUACUGAGACACGGACCAGACUCCUACGGGAGGCAGCAGUGAGGAAUAUUGGUCAAUGGGCGCAAGCCUGAACCAGCCAUGCCGCGUGCAGGAAGACGGUCCUAUGGAUUGUAAACUGCUUUUAUUUGGGAAUAAACCUAUUUACGUGUAGAUAGCUGAAGGUACCAAAUGAAUAAGCACCGGCUAACUCCGUG
This 499-nucleotide ribosomal RNA is filed under the name uncultured bacterium. RNAcentral describes it as "bacterial SSU rRNA". It matches the Rfam family "Bacterial small subunit ribosomal RNA", at positions 15 to 507 of the family's 1533-position model. The record is from RNAcentral.